AUACGGAGGAUCCAAGCGUUAUCCGGAAUCAUUGGGUUUAAAGGGUCCGUAGGCGGGUUUGUAAGUCAGUGGUGAAAGUUUUCGGCUCAACCGGAAAAUUGCCAUUGAUACUGCAAGUCUUGAAUCAUCAUGAAGUGGUUAGAAUGUGUAGUGUAGCGGUGAAAUGCAUAGAUAUUACACAGAAUACCGAUUGCGAAGGCAGAUCACUAAUAAUGUAUUGACGCUAAGGGACGAAAGCGUGGGUAGCGAACAGGAUUAGAAACCCUAGUAGUCC
This 274-nucleotide ribosomal RNA is filed under the name uncultured bacterium. Its description in RNAcentral is "partial 16S ribosomal RNA". It matches the Rfam family "Bacterial small subunit ribosomal RNA", at positions 523 to 796 of the family's 1533-position model. The record is from RNAcentral.